GAUGAACGCUGGCGGCGUGCCUAAUACAUGCCAGUCGAGCGAACAGACGAGGAGCUUGCUCCUCUGACGUUAGCGGCGGACGGGUGAGUAACACGUGGAUAACCUACCUAUAAGACUGGGAUAACUUCGGGAAACCGGAGCUAAUACCGGAUAAUAUAUUGAACCGCAUGGUUCAAUAGUGAAAGACGGUUUUGCAGUCACUUAUAGAUGGAUCCGCGCCGCAUUAGCUAGUUGGUAAGGGAACGGCUUACCAAGGCAACGAUGCCUAGCCGCCCUGAGGGGGUGAACGGCCCCCCUGGAACUUACACACGGGCCAGACACCCACGGGGGGGAGCAAGAGGGAAACCUCCGCAAAGGGGGAAAGCCCUACGGAGCAACGCCGCGGUAGUGAUUAAGGGCUUCCGAUCGGAAAACUCUUUUUUUUGGGGAAAAAAAAUGUGUAAAUUACUUUUCACAGCUUUACGGGACCUAAAUAAAAAGCCCCCGCUAACUUCGUG
This 497-nucleotide ribosomal RNA is filed under the name uncultured bacterium. RNAcentral's name for it is "partial 16S ribosomal RNA". It matches the Rfam family "Bacterial small subunit ribosomal RNA", at positions 28 to 507 of the family's 1533-position model. The record is from RNAcentral.